This 39-nucleotide non-coding RNA is filed under the name Schistosoma margrebowiei. The record is from RNAcentral. Lineage: Eukaryota; Metazoa; Platyhelminthes; Trematoda; Strigeidida; Schistosomatidae.
AUCGCGAGUCCCAAACAGGACGAAACGCGCGUUCUGGAU